GAUGAACGCUGGCGGCGUGCCUAACACAUGCGAGUCGAACGAAGCACCUUACCUGAUUCUUCGGAUGAAAGUUUGGUGACUGAGUGGCGGACGGGUGAGUAACGCGUGGGUAACCUGCCCUGUACAGGGGGAUAACAGCUGGAAACGGCUGCUAAUACCGCAUAAGCGCACGAGGAGACAUCUCCUUGUGUGAAAAACUCCGGUGGUACAGGAUGGGCCCGCGUCUGAUUAGCUGGUUGGCAGGGUAACGGCCUACCAAGGCAACGAUCAGUAGCCGGUCUGAGAGGAUGAACGGCCACAUUGGAACUGAGACACGGUCCAAACUCCUACGGGAGGCAGCAGUGGGGAAUAUUGCACAAUGGGGGAAACCCUGAUGCAGCAACGCCGCGUGAGUGAAGAAGUAUUUCGGUAUGUAAAGCUCUAUCAGCAGGGAAGAUAAUGACGGUACCUGACGAAGAAGCUCCGGCUAAAUACGUG
This 477-nucleotide ribosomal RNA is filed under the name uncultured bacterium. RNAcentral's name for it is "partial 16S ribosomal RNA". It matches the Rfam family "Bacterial small subunit ribosomal RNA", at positions 28 to 507 of the family's 1533-position model. The record is from RNAcentral.